UACAGAGACUGCAAGCGUUAUUCGGAUUCACUGGGCGUAAAGGGUGCGCAGGCGGUUGGGUGUGUCAGAUGUGAAAUCCCGAGGCUUAACCUCGGAACUGCGUCUGAAACUACUCGACUAGAGUACUGGAGAGGGAAACGGAAUUCACGGUGUAGCAGUGAAAUGCGUAGAUAUCGUGAGGAACACCAGAGGCGAAGGCGGUUUCCUGGACAGUUACUGACGCUCAGGCACGAAAGCAUGGGGAGCAAACAGG
Molecule: ribosomal RNA, 253 nt
Filed under: uncultured bacterium
Lineage: Bacteria
Description: partial 16S ribosomal RNA
Rfam family: Bacterial small subunit ribosomal RNA
Source: RNAcentral